CAAAGGUUCCUGUAUGCUGCCUGAGCUCUCUGCAGGAGGACAGUGAGAAGCCAGUCUACCUCCGGUAUUCAGAACAAGAUAAGACGAUCAUGGAAGACAAUCAUCCUCAACUGUGAGGGAUUACUGAAGAAGAAUUAACUUGUGGAACUCAUUGCCACCAUGAGAUGUUGUGAAAGCAGGUCCAGUUGUAUCUUGGGAACCAGCAACGGGCACUCAGGAACCAGCAGCGGGAAGCAGAGGAGCCAAGCACACAUGUGUCCCGCACGCACGUGUGCCCCCUUAACCAACUGACUGACCGGAGGCGGCGGCGGCAGCAGCAGCAGCAGCAGCAGAGGAAUCGGCAGCGGGGGCAGCAACAGCUGAUCCCCCGAAGGUAAGUGGGGCGGAGGAACCCGGUGCAGCUGAGCCGGAUCCGGAGGGGAAGCCCCCUGGGUCCCAUAUAGCUGAGCCGGUAGGGAGCCGCGCUCCCAA
Alligator mississippiensis (American alligator) is the source of this 471-nucleotide long non-coding RNA. RefSeq lists it as uncharacterized. The transcript has 3 exons. NCBI's taxonomy places the organism in Eukaryota, Metazoa, Chordata, Crocodylia, Alligatoridae. The record is from RefSeq and is a predicted model, not a curated record.